Molecule: ribosomal RNA, 199 nt
Filed under: uncultured bacterium
Lineage: Bacteria
Description: partial 16S ribosomal RNA
Rfam family: Bacterial small subunit ribosomal RNA
Source: RNAcentral
CUCCUACGGGAGGCAGCAGUGGGGAAUAUUGGACAAUGGGGGCAACCCGUGAUCCAGCGACGCCGCGUGUGUGAAGAAGGCCUGCGGGUUGUAAAGCACUUUUAUGGGGAUGGAAAAGCUCAAGGUUAACACCUCUGGGUCUUGACCUAACCACAGAAAAAGCAACCGGCUAACUCUGUGCCAGCAGCCGCGGUAAUAC